UCUCAAUGGAAGCUUCCUGAGGCCCCAGAGAGAACUAACCAUGCCCACCACUGUACCCUCUUCAUCUCCACCCAGAGCAAACCUGUUGUGUCCCAAGUCACCAGUUCAAGUGUGCCUGAAGUAUAACGGACAUACAGCAAAAUACCCAUGUUUUAAGUGGAUCGCCUCAAGUCUUCCGAGGGAAAGCCCCAACCCGGAUCAGUUCGUUAGCAGCACCUAGUGCCACUUUCGGAGCAUCCUGUUGUCCAAGGUAACUGGUCUUCUGAUUUUUGUGACCGCAGCUUAGUUUUGCCCGGGGUCAAUGGCAUUGUAAGGUAUAUGGCAUUCCCUUUUGGGGGUGAAAAACC
Molecule: long non-coding RNA, 347 nt
Filed under: Mustela putorius furo (domestic ferret)
Lineage: Eukaryota; Metazoa; Chordata; Mammalia; Carnivora; Mustelidae
Description: lncRNA (ENSMPUG00000026485.1)
Source: RNAcentral